RNAcentral lists this unclassified non-coding RNA (315 nucleotides) under plant metagenome. Its description in RNAcentral is "partial contains 5.8S ribosomal RNA, internal transcribed spacer 2, and large subunit ribosomal RNA". The stretch from base 1 to 105 matches the Rfam family "5.8S ribosomal RNA", at positions 50 to 154 of the family's 154-position model. The record is from RNAcentral.
GAACUGCGAUAAGUAAUGUGAAUUGCAGAAUUCAGUGAAUCAUCGAGUCUUUGAACGCACAUUGCGCCCCCUGGCAUUCCGGGGGGCAUGCCUGUCCGAGCGUCAUUGCUGCCCUUCAAGCCCGGCUUGUGUGUUGGGUCGUCGUCCCCUCCGGGGGACGGGCCCGAAAGGCAGCGGCGGCACCGCGUCCGGUCCUCGAGCGUAUGGGGCUUUGUCACCCGCUCGAUAAGGACCGGCCGGGCGCCAGCCGGCGUCUCCAACCUUUUUUUCUCGGGUUGACCUCGGAUCAGGUAGGGAUACCCGCUGAACUUAAGC